RNAcentral lists this ribosomal RNA (519 nucleotides) under uncultured Klebsiella sp. Its description in RNAcentral is "bacterial SSU rRNA". It matches the Rfam family "Bacterial small subunit ribosomal RNA", at positions 8 to 518 of the family's 1533-position model. The record is from RNAcentral. Lineage: Bacteria; Pseudomonadati; Pseudomonadota; Gammaproteobacteria; Enterobacterales; Enterobacteriaceae.
AGAGUUUGAUCCUGGCUCAGAUUGAACGCUGGCGGCAGGCCUAACACAUGCAAGUCGAGCGGUAGCACAGAGAGCUUGCUCUCGGGUGACGAGCGGCGGACGGGUGAGUAAUGUCUGGGAAACUGCCUGAUGGAGGGGGAUAACUACUGGAAACGGUAGCUAAUACCGCAUAAUGUCGCAAGACCAAAGUGGGGGACCUUCGGGCCUCAUGCCAUCAGAUGUGCCCAGAUGGGAUUAGCUAGUAGGUGGGGUAACGGCUCACCUAGGCGACGAUCCCUAGCUGGUCUGAGAGGAUGACCAGCCACACUGGAACUGAGACACGGUCCAGACUCCUACGGGAGGCAGCAGUGGGGAAUAUUGCACAAUGGGCGCAAGCCUGAUGCAGCCAUGCCGCGUGUGUGAAGAAGGCCUUCGGGUUGUAAAGCACUUUCAGCGGGGAGGAAGGCGUUAAGGUUAAUAACCUUGGCGAUUGACGUUACCCGCAGAAGAAGCACCGGCUAACUCCGUGCCAGCAGCCGC